This 72-nucleotide transfer RNA is filed under the name Alosa alosa (allis shad). RNAcentral's name for it is "tRNA-OTHER". The record is from RNAcentral. Lineage: Eukaryota; Metazoa; Chordata; Actinopteri; Clupeiformes; Clupeidae.
GUGGCGGUUAGCUCAGUUGGUUAGGCGUGGUGCUAAUAACGCCAAGGUCGCGGGUUGAUCCCGUCUGGGCCA